RNAcentral lists this ribosomal RNA (460 nucleotides) under uncultured bacterium. RNAcentral describes it as "partial 16S ribosomal RNA". It matches the Rfam family "Bacterial small subunit ribosomal RNA", at positions 338 to 795 of the family's 1533-position model. The record is from RNAcentral.
CCUACGGGAGGCUGCAGUGAGGAAUAUUGGUCAAUGGGCUUACGCCUGAACCAGCCAAGUCGCGUGAGGGAGGACUGCCCUAUGGGUUGUAAACCUCUUUUGCCAGGGAGCAACGCCGGCUACGUGUAGCCGGACUGAGAGUACCUGAAGAAAAAGCAUCGGCUAACUCCGUGCCAGCAGCCGCGGUAAUACGGAGGAUGCGAGCGUUAUCCGGAUUUAUUGGGUUUAAAGGGUGCGUAGGCGGAACGCCAAGUCAGCGGUAAAAUCGCGGGGCUCAACCUCGCUCCGCCGUUGAAACUGGCGUUCUUGAGUGGGCGAGAAGUAUGCGGAAUGCGGGGUGUAGCGGUGAAAUGCAUAGAUAUCACGCAGAACUCCGAUUGCGAAGGCAGCAUACCGGCGCCCAACUGACGCUGAAGCACGAAAGCGUGGGGAUCGAACAGGAUUAGAUACCCGAGUAGUC